UCUCAGGCGCCGCCAGAGCUUGUGCUGGGAUGGCCGGGUCAGCGUCUCUGCUGACAGGAGCUGAGUCUCCUUUAGACUCGCCGGGGCUUGGGCUUCAGGACAAGACGGGGCUGUGUCCAUGCUGACAGGAGCUGGGUUUCCUGACGACCCAGGAGACGCCAAGAGGAAAAGUGGUUCUGCAGGCUCGCCAGUAUCAGCAUGGGCUCCAGGGAACUGAGAGGUUGAGGUCUGUACUUCCCAGCUGGCCAGCAGGCAGCACCAAGUCCACCUCUCUGAUACUUGAGGUGCAUGUGUGUUCCACUGGUGGACUUGGCUCAUGAAGGAACUUGGCUACUUGUGCCGCUGAUAGAAGCUCGGUCUCUUCAGGAUCCACCAUGGUUUCAGCUUUGGGACAACACUUGGCUGAGUCCAUGCACACAAAAACGCAGUGUCUUCAGGAACCACCAGGAGGCACCACCUUGGGAGUAAAAGGUUUCAGGAAAAUCGCUUUGCCUGGCUGGGGAAAGAAGAAGACCCCCAAAUCGUCCGAAGUCCUUGGGUCCUUGUAGCUGGUUGUAUAGAGAACUGGACACAUGCCAAAUGGGCAUUUGGCCUCCCUGCUCAAUCACCUGUAACCAAGCAGGGACAAGCCCUCUUUGAACAGUCUCCUUGAAUGCUGGAGAGGCUCUCUGGGUAAUUUAUUUGGCUAGAGAACCCUUAUUUCACACUCCACCUUCACCCUAUCUCCAGGGACUGCUUGCUGAAAGCACCCACCUACAUCAGGUAUCUCCUACAGCCCCACAGUGGGUCUGGGAAUGUCUAAUUGCUGACUUAAGAGGGGAUCUGGGGGCUUCCCUGGUGGCGCAGUGGCUGAGA
This is a long non-coding RNA of Mesoplodon densirostris (Blainville's beaked whale), 855 nucleotides long. RefSeq lists it as uncharacterized. The transcript has 3 exons. The record is from RefSeq and is a predicted model, not a curated record. NCBI's taxonomy places the organism in Eukaryota, Metazoa, Chordata, Mammalia, Artiodactyla, Ziphiidae.